GUGCCUGGUCUGUGGUAUGCUGUUACAGCAGCACACUGCAGGCUAAUACAGGUUGGCAACGGGCUUCUCUACAGCCACAUCCUACAGCAGAAACCAUGGAACAACCUAUAAGAAAUAGAUGCCCCAGGGGCAGCAAAGGUGAGCUAAGGGUCUGCAUCCCACCAGACUGCUCUUCAUUAUUCAGGCCACUAACACACAGGUUUGGACCUAUUUUGCUGGUACAUCAGAGGAUGAGCCUUUGCCCAUCAAGAGGAGACAAUUUCUCACAAUCCCAGGUGCUAGAAAGAAGACUAAUGGUUAACAUUAAAUAUAUUGAACUUUGAAACUAUGGCUAAGUGGAAACUAUAUGAAGGAUAAUAAAAUUAUGUGUACAUUUAUACACUCUGAAAAUGUAGCUAACCCACCAACAGACAGAGGAAAGUGGGAAGAGGUGGUGCCUCUCAGUGCCUGCUCAGAGUAAAGGUGGAGGGAGAAGUCACCCUUUAAUGCUGGCAAACUGGGCAGGGGAGGUUCUCUCUAGUUGAGCGGUACUAAGCAAAUAUAAAAGGCAAUCGCUGUAUUGUUUAAAAUUAGGUGGUGAAGAAAAAAGAACCAAUUGUUGCUCAUGAAUGGAAAUGAACAAAUAAUAUGUAAAGCUAGAGGGUCAUUAAGGACAUGACAUAAAAAUUUAAUACAUAGUAACUGAGAACAGGGCAGACCUCCUUCUACGUAUUAGAACAGCAACAUUAGCAAACAAAAUGGCAAUGUGAAAAUUCUAUAUACAUACACAAGCAUCAUGUGAGUCCUUACAGACUAGGGACCAUGCUUAUCUGUUACGCAAGUAAAUAAAAAGCCACUCAGGUCACCUAUUGGAAAGAACUGGAGACUGAAUCACAAGGUUCAUGCAACUCCGUGCCACAUGUGGGUGUGAUAACCGAAAGUGUUGGAGAAAAGUUACGCAAAAGAAGAGAUAACGUCAUGCCAGAAAAUGCAAUUAAUAAGAAAAAGAGGUCAUGGUCUUAUUGUCAAACAAAGCCAAGGAGUAUUAAUAAUGGCAGAAAUGAAACUUUAUAAUUCUCAACUCACACAAGAUACAGAAAGUGUCCAUACAACAGACAGCAGCAGAGCCACAGUUGGCCUAACAAACUUACCAAUAACCGAAGGCCGUGAGUGACCUCACCUGGCACAAGAAACACCAGGUAGCACCCCCUCUCCACAAAAAGGCAAGGGUAAAGACGAUCGGAGCACCAAAGUCGGACACAUCUCGGACAAAUGGCCCCACUCCCCUUUUGUAAGUACCAACAGAACUUUCACACAAAUAGAUCACCUAUUAACUAGACCACAAAGACAAUUCCAAUAACUUCUAAUGAAGUAGAAACAGGACAGGGAAAUCAUCUGAAUAUAAAACAGUCCAGGAUAAGGUCCUUUCACUUGGAAAUAAAAAUGAAACUGUUAAACAAUUCUGGGGUCAAAGAAGAAUUGCAAACCCCAAACAACUUAGUGGGGAUGAAAACAUACAUCAGAAUUUUGGAAUAUGAGUAAAUCAUUGCUAAGGGAAAAGUUG
RNAcentral lists this long non-coding RNA (1543 nucleotides) under Marmota monax (woodchuck). The record is from RNAcentral. Lineage: Eukaryota; Metazoa; Chordata; Mammalia; Rodentia; Sciuridae.